This 292-nucleotide ribosomal RNA is filed under the name uncultured bacterium. RNAcentral describes it as "partial 16S ribosomal RNA". It matches the Rfam family "Bacterial small subunit ribosomal RNA", at positions 505 to 796 of the family's 1533-position model. The record is from RNAcentral.
GUGUCAGCAGCCGCGGUAAGACGAACCGUGCGAACGUUGUUCGGAAUCACUGGGCUUAAAGGGCGCGUAGGCGGGCAUUCAAGUCAGGGGUGAAAUCCUCCAGCUUAACUGGAGAACUGCCUCUGAUACUGGAUAUCUCGAGUGAGGUAGGGGCGUGCGGAACUGAUGGUGGAGCGGUGAAAUGUGUUGAUAUCAUCAGGAACUCCGGUGGCGAAAGCGGCGCGCUGGACCUUAACUGACGCUGAGGCGCGAAAGCCAGGGGAGCGAACGGGAUUAGAAACCCUGGUAGUCC